RNAcentral lists this unclassified non-coding RNA (302 nucleotides) under uncultured Pseudomonadota bacterium. RNAcentral describes it as "uncultured proteobacterium partial 16S-23S ribosomal RNA intergenic spacer". The stretch from base 36 to 109 matches the Rfam family "tRNA". Lineage: Bacteria; Pseudomonadati; Pseudomonadota. The record is from RNAcentral.
CGAUCCCGAUCAGCUCCACCAACCAAACACUAAACGGGUCUGUAGCUCAGGUGGUUAGAGCGCACCCCUGAUAAGGGUGAGGUCGGUGGUUCNAGUCCUCCCAGACCCACCAUUCUGGAUGUUGCGCACGCGAGUUUUAUGUCGGGGGGACGUUGAGGGCGCGCGGAUGUCCGGUGACCACUCGCCGACUGACACGCGUUGGAGUUCUCGGCGGGGGGGGGGUGUGUUGUGGGUUCAGGGGGCCCACGCCAGGGCGUCGGGGCCGCGCGCCAAAGGGGCCGCGCUCCGCGGCGCGCCUGAUG